GAGUUUGAUCCUGGCUCAGGAUGAACGCUGGCGGCGUGCCUAAUACAUGCAAGUCGAGCGAACAGAUAAGGAGCUUGCUCCUUUGACGUUAGCGGCGGACGGGUGAGUAACACGUGGGUAACCUACCUAUAAGACUGGAAUAACUCCGGGAAACCGGGGCUAAUGCCGGAUAAUAUUUAGAACCGCAUGGUUCUAAAGUGAAAGAUGGUUUUACUAUCACUUAUAGAUGGACCCGCGCCGUAUUAGCUAGUUGGUGGGGUAAUGGCUUACCAAGGCAACGAUACGUAGCCGACCUGAGAGGGUGAUCGGCCACACUGGAACUGAGACACGGUCCAGACUCCUACGGGAGGCAGCAGUAGGGAAUCUUCCGCAAUGGGCGAAAGCCUGACGGAGCAACGCCGCGUGAGUGAUGAAGGUCUUCGGAUCGUAAAACUCUGUUAUUAGGGAAGAACAAAUGUGUAAGUAACUGUGCACGUCUUGACGGUACCUAAUCAGAAAGCCACGGCUAACUACGUGCCAGCAGCCGCGGUAAUACGUAGGUGGCAAGCGUUAUCCGGAAUUAUUGGGC
Molecule: ribosomal RNA, 568 nt
Filed under: uncultured bacterium
Lineage: Bacteria
Description: bacterial SSU rRNA
Rfam family: Bacterial small subunit ribosomal RNA
Source: RNAcentral